Molecule: transfer RNA, 73 nt
Filed under: Centruroides sculpturatus (bark scorpion)
Lineage: Eukaryota; Metazoa; Arthropoda; Arachnida; Scorpiones; Buthidae
Description: tRNA-Val
Rfam family: tRNA
About the family: Transfer RNA (tRNA) molecules are approximately 80 nucleotides in length. Their secondary structure includes four short double-helical elements and three loops (D, anti-codon, and T loops).
Source: RNAcentral
GUGCUUGUGGUGUAGUGGUUAUCACAUCCACCUAACACGCGGAAGGUCCCAGGUUCUACCCCUAGCAGGCAUA